Hordeum vulgare subsp. vulgare (domesticated barley) is the source of this 133-nucleotide non-coding RNA. NCBI's taxonomy places the organism in Eukaryota, Viridiplantae, Streptophyta, Magnoliopsida, Poales, Poaceae. The record is from Rfam.
CUCAUACUACCUCCGUCCCAAAAUUCUUGUCUAAGAUUUAUCUAAAUAUGGAUGUAGCUAGCAUUAAAAUGUGACUAGAUACAUUUAUUUUGAUAAAUCUAAGACAAGAAUUUUAGGACGGAGGGAGUAUGUU